AUCCCCCUAGUAUAAUAGUACAAGCGACUUCCAAUCACUAAGUUUUAGACACACCUAAAGGGGGAUA
This 67-nucleotide transfer RNA is filed under the name Elseya dentata. RNAcentral's name for it is "tRNA-Gly". RNAcentral also lists the same sequence under 2 other names. Lineage: Eukaryota; Metazoa; Chordata; Testudines; Chelidae. The record is from RNAcentral.